GUCGACUUUACUCAUAGGAUCAUUUCUAUAGUAAACGUCCUCUUCUGAGCUCCUUACCAGAGCCACAGAAUCUCCAACCUGGCUGAUGAUUCGAUACCCCGGCGCCCUAGAGUGAAGCCUUUGUACUGCGGCCUCGGCUGCAGUGGUGAUGAUCUCGUCCUGACCAUGGUUUGCGACUUCGGUCCGCCUGGCCAGGUGGGUGCUGGCGGUCGUCUGACAGGC
This 222-nucleotide small nucleolar RNA is filed under the name Macrophomina phaseolina MS6. RNAcentral's name for it is "Fungal small nucleolar RNA U3". It matches the Rfam family "Fungal small nucleolar RNA U3". Rfam says of the family: Small nucleolar RNAs (snoRNAs) are involved in the processing and modification of rRNA in the nucleolus. There are two main classes of snoRNAs: the box C/D class, and the box H/ACA class. Lineage: Eukaryota; Fungi; Ascomycota; Dothideomycetes; Botryosphaeriales; Botryosphaeriaceae. The record is from Rfam by way of RNAcentral.